CCUACGGGGGGCAGCAGUGAGGAAUAUUGGUCAAUGGCCGAGAGGCUGAACCAGCCAAGUCGCGUGAGGGAAGACGGCCCUACGGGUUGUAAACCUCUUUUGUCGGGGAGCAAAGCGAACCACGUGUGGUUCAUUGAGAGUACCCGAAGAAAAAGCAUCGGCUAACUCCGUGCCAGCAGCCGCGGUAAUACGGAGGAUGCGAGCGUUAUCCGGAUUUAUUGGGUUUAAAGGGUGCGUAGGCGGUCCGUUAAGUCAGCGGUAAAAUUGCGGGGCUCAACCCCGUCGAGCCGUUGAAACUGGCAGAC
Molecule: ribosomal RNA, 305 nt
Filed under: uncultured bacterium
Lineage: Bacteria
Description: bacterial SSU rRNA
Rfam family: Bacterial small subunit ribosomal RNA
Source: RNAcentral